GUGGGGAAUAUUGGACAAUGGGCGCAAGCCUGAUCCAGCCAUACCGCGUGGGUGAAGAAGGCCUUCGGGUUGUAAAGCCCUUUUGUUGGGAAAGAAAGCCUGUCGAUUAAUACUCGGUGGGGAUGACGGUACCCAAAGAAUAAGCACCGGCUAACUUCGUGUCAGCAGCCGCGGUAAUACGAAGGGGGCAAGCGUUACUCGGAAUUACUGGGCGUAAAGCGUGCGUAGGUGGUGGUUUAAGUCUGCUGUGACAGCCCUGCGCUCAACCUGGGAAUUGCAGUGGAUACUGGAUCACUAGAGUGUGGUAGGGGGAUGCUGAAUUUCUGGUGUAGCAGUGAAAUGCGUAGAGAACAGAAGGAACAUCCGUGGCGAAGGCGGCAUCCUGGGCCAAUACUGACACUGAGGCACGAAAGCGUGGGGAGCAAACAGGAUUAGACACCCCAGUAGUCC
Molecule: ribosomal RNA, 450 nt
Filed under: uncultured bacterium
Lineage: Bacteria
Description: partial 16S ribosomal RNA
Rfam family: Bacterial small subunit ribosomal RNA
Source: RNAcentral